This 321-nucleotide unclassified non-coding RNA is filed under the name uncultured fungus. RNAcentral's name for it is "partial contains small subunit ribosomal RNA, internal transcribed spacer 1, and 5.8S ribosomal RNA". The stretch from base 1 to 73 matches the Rfam family "Eukaryotic small subunit ribosomal RNA", at positions 1759 to 1831 of the family's 1831-position model. Lineage: Eukaryota; Fungi. The record is from RNAcentral.
UCAAACUUGGUCAUUUAGAGGAAGUAAAAGUCGUAACAAGGUUUCCGUAGGUGAACCUGCGGAAGGAUCAUUAACAAUUUUAUCCGUUAUGGAUAAAUUUAUCCAUAUCCACCUUGUGUGCAUUAUUGAAGUGUUUGUUGGCAGGUAACUUCAAAUACUCGCGUAUUUGAAUUGGCUGAGAACAAAAUGGUUCUCGCGGCCUGCCAAUUUUUAUGUCUAAACUCGUCUUAAUGUAUACUAUCGACUGAAAUAAUUUAUAAAUUAAUUAACACAACUUUCAACAACGGAUCUCUUGGUUCUCGCAUCGAUGAAGAACGCAGC